Molecule: ribosomal RNA, 48 nt
Filed under: Strombidium paracalkinsi
Lineage: Eukaryota; Ciliophora; Spirotrichea; Strombidiidae
Also listed under: 1 other name
Description: partial large subunit ribosomal RNA
Source: RNAcentral
GUAUCUGGGCUCAGGCGGGACCACCCGCUGAACUUAAGCAUAUCAGUA